Molecule: ribosomal RNA, 725 nt
Filed under: Bacillus sp. (in: firmicutes)
Lineage: Bacteria; Bacillati; Bacillota; Bacilli; Caryophanales; Bacillaceae
Description: bacterial SSU rRNA
Rfam family: Bacterial small subunit ribosomal RNA
Source: RNAcentral
UGCAGUCGAGCGAUGGAUUGAGAGCUUGCUCUCAAGAAGUUAGCGGCGGACGGGUGAGUAACACGUGGGUAACCUGCCCAUAAGACUGGGAUAACUCCGGGAAACCGGGGCUAAUACCGGAUAACAUUUUGAACCGCAUGGUUCGAAAUUGAAAGGCGGCUUCGGCUGUCACUUAUGGAUGGACCCGCGUCGCAUUAGCUAGUUGGUGAGGUAACGGCUCACCAAGGCAACGAUGCGUAGCCGACCUGAGAGGGUGAUCGGCCACACUGGGACUGAGACACGGCCCAGACUCCUACGGGAGGCAGCAGUAGGGAAUCUUCCGCAAUGGACGAAAGUCUGACGGAGCAACGCCGCGUGAGUGAUGAAGGCUUUCGGGUCGUAAAACUCUGUUGUUAGGGAAGAACAAGUGCUAGUUGAAUAAGCUGGCACCUUGACGGUACCUAACCAGAAAGCCACGGCUAACUACGUGCCAGCAGCCGCGGUAAUACGUAGGUGGCAAGCGUUAUCCGGAAUUAUUGGGCGUAAAGCGCGCGCAGGUGGUUUCUUAAGUCUGAUGUGAAAGCCCACGGCUCAACCGUGGAGGGUCAUUGGAAACUGGGAGACUUGAGUGCAGAAGAGGAAAGUGGAAUUCCAUGUGUAGCGGUGAAAUGCGUAGAGAUAUGGAGGAACACCAGUGGCGAAGGCGACUUUCUGGUCUGUAACUGACACUGAGGCGCGAAAGCGUG